This is a long non-coding RNA of Bufo bufo (common toad), 139 nucleotides long. RefSeq lists it as uncharacterized. NCBI's taxonomy places the organism in Eukaryota, Metazoa, Chordata, Amphibia, Anura, Bufonidae. The record is from RefSeq and is a predicted model, not a curated record. The transcript is spliced from 3 exons.
AACAGUGCGCAGAAGCAAGCUCUGCUGGAUAUGGAGGCCACAGAUUGAAGCCUCAUGAGCCAGGAGGAGUUUUCCCUGGUGUAAUCUAGAGUCAGACUACAGAGAGAAGUUGCAGCAUAGAGAAGAAGCAAAGAUUAUA